This 880-nucleotide ribosomal RNA is filed under the name uncultured archaeon. Its description in RNAcentral is "bacterial SSU rRNA". It matches the Rfam family "Archaeal small subunit ribosomal RNA", at positions 26 to 887 of the family's 1478-position model. The record is from RNAcentral.
ACUGCUAUCAGAAUUCGGAUUAAGCCAUGCAAGUCUACCUGUUCACUUGGACAGGUGGCAUACGGCUGAGUAACACGUAGUCAAUCUGCCCUAAGGACGGGGAUCUCCUCGGGAAACUGAGGUCAAUCCCAGAUAGACCAUCUAUGCUGGAAUGCUUGAUGAUUUAAAGUGACGGUGAAUUGGAGCCGUACAGCCUUAGGAUGAGACUGCGGAGGAUCAUGGUAGUUGGUGAGGUAAUGGCUCACCAAGCCGAUAAUCCUUAGGGGCCAUGGGAGUGGUGGCCCCCAGAAGGGUACUGAGACAAGGACCCUAGUCCUACGGGAUGCAGCAGGCGCGAAACCUUUACAAUGCGCGAAAGCGUGAUAGGGGAAUUCUGAGUGGUGUAAGCUUAGCUUAUAUCUUUUGCCAAGUGUAAAUAGCUUGGAGAAUAAGGGUGUGGGCAAGACUGGUGGCAGCCGCCGCGGUAAAACCAGCGCCUCUAGUGGUAUCCACGGAUAUUGGGCCUAAAGCGUUCGUAGCCGGUUUAUUGAGUCCACUGUGAAAUGUUGGGGCUUCACCCUAACGCGCGCAGUAGAUACUGAUAGACUUGGGAGCAGGGGAGGGUCGGAGUACUUUCAGGGUAGGGGUAAAAUCCGUUGAGCCUGAAAGGACUACCAGUGGCGAAGGCGCCUACCCAAAACGCGUCCGACGGUGAGGAACGAAAGCUGGGGGAGCGAACGGGAUUAGAUACCCCGGUAGUCCCAGCUGUAAAUGAUGCACACUGUGGUGUUACUCUAUCGUAAGAUAGGGUAGUGCUGUAGCGUAAGUGUUAAGUCUGCCGCCUGGCGAGUACGGUCGCAAGAUUGAAACUUAAAGGAAUUGGCGGGGAGCACCACAAGGG